CAUGGAUGAUGAAAAUACAGAUGAGAAAAAGGGUCUACAACUGGGAUAGCUGGAUUUCACAAAGAAGAAACCCCAGACAGCUAGAACUUUACUCAUUCUACUAUCCAUGAAAUAUUAAAAACAUAUAGCUCUCAGGAGGCUUGGAGCCUGUGCUUACAAAAAGAAGUAGAUGAAAGUAGGCUAUAAAUUACUUCACCUGGAUGGGCUUGGGCCCAAGGCAUCCUAAACUUUCAAC
This 235-nucleotide long non-coding RNA is filed under the name Homo sapiens (human). RNAcentral's name for it is "non-protein coding lnc-NUAK1-3:1". The record is from RNAcentral. Lineage: Eukaryota; Metazoa; Chordata; Mammalia; Primates; Hominidae.